GUGGGGAAUAUUGGACAAUGGGCGAAAGCCUGAUCCAGCCAUGCCGCGUGUGUGAAGAAGGUCUUCGGAUUGUAAAGCACUUUAAGUUGGGAGGAAGGGCAGUAAGUUAAUACCUUGCUGUUUUGACGUUACCGACAGAAUAAGCACCGGCUAACUUCGUGCCAGCAGCCGCGGUAAUACGAAGGGUGCAAGCGUUAAUCGGAAUUACUGGGCGUAAAGCGCGCGUAGGGGGUUUUGUAAGUUGGAGGUGAAAUCCCCGGGCUCAACAUGGGAACUGCCUCCAAAACUGCAUGACUAGAGUACGGUAGAGGGUAGUGGAAUUUCCUGUGUAGCGGUGAAAUGCGUAGAUAUAGGAAGGAACACCAGUGGCGAAGGCGACUACCUGGACUGAUACUGACACUGAGGUGCGAAAGCGUGGGGAGCAAACAGGAUUAGAUACCCCUGUAGUCC
Molecule: ribosomal RNA, 450 nt
Filed under: uncultured bacterium
Lineage: Bacteria
Description: bacterial SSU rRNA
Rfam family: Bacterial small subunit ribosomal RNA
Source: RNAcentral